This 284-nucleotide ribosomal RNA is filed under the name uncultured Lachnospiraceae bacterium. Its description in RNAcentral is "partial 16S ribosomal RNA". The stretch from base 46 to 284 matches the Rfam family "Bacterial small subunit ribosomal RNA", at positions 100 to 339 of the family's 1533-position model. The record is from RNAcentral. Lineage: Bacteria; Bacillati; Bacillota; Clostridia; Lachnospirales; Lachnospiraceae.
CUGCUUUAAUGAAGUUUUCGGAUGGAUUUAGAACAGCUUAGUGGCGAACGGGUGAGUAACGCGUGGGUAACCUGCCUCACACAGGGGGAUAACAGUUGGAAACGGCUGCUAAUACCGCAUAAGCGCACGGUUCCGCAUGGUACAGUGUGAAAAACUCCGGUGGUGUGAGAUGGACCCGCGUCUGAUUAGCCAGUUGGCGGGGUAACGGCCCACCAAGGCGACGAUUGGUAGCCGGACUGAGAGGUUGAACGGCCACAUUGGGACUGAGACACGGCCCAGACUCC